GACGAACGCUGGCGGCGUGCCUAAUACAUGCAAGUAGAACGCUGAAGCGAGGAGCUUGCUCUUCUUGGAUGAGUUGCGAACGGGUGAGUAACGCGUAGGUAACCUGCCUUGUAGCGGGGGAUAACUAUUGGAAACGAUAGCUAAUACUGCAUAACAAUGGAUGACACAUGUCACUUAUUUGAAAGGGACAUUUGCUCCACUACAAGAUGGACCUGCGUUGUAUUAGCUAGUAGGUGAGGUAACGGCUCACCCAGGCGACGAUACAUAGCCUGCCUGAGAGGGUGAUCGGCCACACUGGGACUGAGACACGGCCCAGACUCCUUCGGGGAGCAGCAGUAGGGAAUCUUCGGCAAUGGGGGCAACCCUGACCGAGCAACGCCGGGUGAGGGAAGAAGGGUUUCGGAUCGUAAAGCUCUGUUGUAAGUCAAGAACGAGUGUGAGAGUGGAAAGUUCACGCUGUGACGGUAGCUUACCAGAAAGAGACGGCUAACUACGUG
RNAcentral lists this ribosomal RNA (497 nucleotides) under uncultured bacterium. RNAcentral describes it as "partial 16S ribosomal RNA". It matches the Rfam family "Bacterial small subunit ribosomal RNA", at positions 28 to 507 of the family's 1533-position model. The record is from RNAcentral.